AGAGUUUGAUCAUGGCUCAGAUUGAACGCUGGCGGCAUGCCUUACACAUGCAAGUCGAACGGCAGCAUGAUCUAGCUUGCUAGAUUGAUGGCGAGUGGCGAACGGGUGAGUAAUACAUCGGAACGUGCCCUGUAGUGGGGGAUAACUAGUCGAAAGAUUAGCUAAUACCGCAUACGACCUGAGGGUGAAAGUGGGGGACCGCAAGGCCUCAUGCCAUAGGAGCGGCCGAUGUCUGAUUAGCUAGUUGGUGAGGUAAAGGCUCACCAAGGCGACGAUCAGUAGCUGGUCUGAGAGGACGAUCAGCCACACUGGGACUGAGACACGGCCCAGACUCCUACGGGAGGCAGCAGUGGGGAAUUUUGGACAAUGGGCGAAAGCCUGAUCCAGCAAUGCCGCGUGUGUGAAGAAGGCCUUCGGGUUGUAAAGCACUUUUGUCCGGAAAGAAAUGGCUCUGGUUAAUACCUGGGGUCGAUGACGGUACCGGAAGAAUAAGGACCGGCUAACUACGUGCCAGCAGCCGCGGUAAUACGGAGGGUCCAAGCGUUAAUCGGAAUUACUGGGCGUAAAGCGUGCGCAGGCGGUUGUGCAAGACCGAUGUGAAAUCCCCGAGCUUAACUUGGGAAUUGCAUCGGUGACUGCACGGCUAGAGUGUGUCAGAGGGGGGUAGAAUUCCACGUGUAGCAGUGAAAUGCGUAGAGAUGUGGAGGAAUACCGAUGGCGAAGGCAGCCCCCUGGGAUAACACUGACGCUCAUGCACGAAAGCGUGGGGAGCAAACAGGAUUAGAUACCCUGGUAGUCCACGCCCUAAACGAUGUCAACUAGUUGUUGGGGAUUCAUUUCCUUAGUAACGUAGCUAACGCGUGAAG
Molecule: ribosomal RNA, 866 nt
Filed under: uncultured bacterium
Lineage: Bacteria
Description: bacterial SSU rRNA
Rfam family: Bacterial small subunit ribosomal RNA
Source: RNAcentral